GACGAACGCUGGUGGCGUGCUUAACACAUGCAAGUCGAACGGAAAGGCCCUGCUUUUGUGGGGUGCUCGAGUGGCGAACGGGUGAGUAACACGUGAGUAACCUGCCCUUGACUUUGGGAUAACUUCAGGAAACUGGGGCUAAUACCGGAUAGGAGCUCCUGCUGCAUGGUGGGGGUUGGAAAGUUUCGGCGGUUGGGGAUGGACUCGCGGCUUAUCAGCUUGUUGGUGGGGUAGUGGCUUACCAAGGCUUUGACGGGUAGCCGGCCUGAGAGGGUGACCGGCCACAUUGGGACUGAGAUACGGCCCAGACUCCUACGGGAGGCAGCAGUGGGGAAUAUUGCACAAUGGGCGGAAGCCUGAUGCAGCAACGCCGCGUGCGGGAUGACGGCCUUCGGGUUGUAAACCGCUUUCGCCUGUGACGAAGCGUGAGUGACGGUAAUGGGUAAAGAAGCACCGGCUAACUACGUGCCAGCAGCCGCGGUGAUACGUAGGGUGCGAGCGUUGUCCGGAUUUAUUGGGCGUAAAGGGCUCGUAGGUGGUUGAUCGCGUCGGAAGUGUAAUCUUGGGGCUUAACCCUGAGCGUGCUUUCGAUACGGGUUGACUUGAGGAAGGUAGGGGAGAAUGGAAUUCCUGGUGGAGCGGUGGAAUGCGCAGAUAUCAGGAGGAACACCAGUGGCGAAGGCGGUUCUCUGGGCCUUUCCUGACGCUGAGGAGCGAAAGCGUGGGGAGCGAACAGGCUUAGAUACCCUGGUAGUCCACGCUGUAAACGGUGGGUACUAGGUGUGGGGUCCAUUCCACGGGUUCCGUGCCGUAGCUAACGCUUUAAGUACCCCGCCUGGGGAGUACGGCCGCAAGGCUAAAACUCAAAGGAAUUGACGGGGCCCCGCACAAGCGGCGGAGCAUGCGGAUUAAUUCGAUGCAACGCGUAGAACCUUACCUGGGUUUGACAUGGAUCGGGAGUGCUCAGAGAUGGGUGUGCCUCUUUUGGGGUCGGUUCACAGGUGGUGCAUGGCUGUCGUCAGCUCGUGUCGUGAGAUGUUGGGUUAAGUCCCGCAACGAGCGCAACCCUUGUUCACUGUUGCCAGCACGUUAUGGUGGGGACUCAGUGGAGACCGCCGGGGUCAACUCGGAGGAAGGUGGGGAUGACGCCAAGUCAUCAUGCCCCUUAUGUCCAGGGCUUCACGCAUGCUACAAUGGCUGGUACAGAGAGUGGCGAGCCUGUGAGGGUGAGCGAAUCUCGGAAAGCCGGUCUCAGUUCGGAUUGGGGUCUGCAACUCGACCUCAUGAAGUCGGAGUCGCUAGUAAUCGCAGAUCAGCAACGCUGCGGUGAAUACGUUCCCGGG
Molecule: ribosomal RNA, 1343 nt
Filed under: uncultured bacterium
Lineage: Bacteria
Description: 16S ribosomal RNA
Rfam family: Bacterial small subunit ribosomal RNA
Source: RNAcentral